UCCGGCUUGUCACCGGCAGUUCCUCCAGAGUGCCCGGCCCAACCCGAUGGCAACUGGAGACAGGGGUUGCGCUCGUUGCGGGACAUAACCCAACACCUCACGGCACGAGCUGACGACAGCCAUGCAGCACCUCUACUCGCUCCCUUGCGGGUCGUCCCCCUUUCAGGGUUCUACCACGAGCAGUUCAAGCCCAGGUAAGGUUCUUCGCGUUGCAUCGAAUUAAACCACAUGCUCCACCGCUUGUGCGGGCCCCCGUCAAUUCCUUUGAGUUUCACCCUUGCGAGCGUACUCCCCAGGUGGAAUACUUAUCAGGUUACCUUCGGCACUGACCAAAAAAGGCCAACACCAAGUAUUCAUCGUUUAGGGCGUGGACUAC
This 376-nucleotide unclassified non-coding RNA is filed under the name uncultured Ignavibacteria bacterium. RNAcentral's name for it is "contains 16S-23S intergenic spacer region". Lineage: Bacteria; Pseudomonadati; Ignavibacteriota; Ignavibacteria. The record is from RNAcentral.